UUUGCGACACUUGAAACACCAAAGUGCUUUCCUUUACUGGUCCUACAAUUUUGUGCUUACUGACCAUAAACUAAUGUCCUUAGAUUGACUCGGUGCUCUCUCUUCACUUCCCCCAUAAAGAACCUUCACCUCGUCACCAAGUUUUUCCUUUUGUUUUCUUAGCUCCUCCUCCUCCUCCUCCUCCUCCUCCUCCUCCUCCUCCUCCUCCCUUACCUCAAGCUUUCUUUAUUUACUGUUUGAUUUCAACUAUUUCUUUGAUCAGAUCUCUCUAAGCUAGAGAAAUGAAGAAAGCUGGGUUGAAAUUGGGUUUCCACGAUGACAAAGCCAAGAAAAAAGCCAUGAAGACAGCCUCUAGUCUUUCAGGGGACGUUGACCCCGUAGUGGCCAAAUCGAGAAAGCUGUGCGGCGCAGAAAUAGUUACAGCACGACCAGCAAAAGAGUCUGGAAAGAGAAAAGACGAGCCCAAGAAAGAACAGUAAAAGAAGCAAGAAGAUCAGAAGAUAGCAGACCAUGUAGCUGAGCUGGUCAAGGCUUACGAGGCCUUUAAUCCUCGUACGACCACCUAGACGGUGUCGCUGAGCUGAUCAAAAGAGGAAAACCCAGAUGCUUGUGUCAUCUCUUAGUUUGUCAAUUACAUGUUAAAAAGAAAUCUAUUAUAGAUAGAUGAAAAAAGUGAAAGCAAAAUAUAGUUUUGUUGGAGAUUUUGGAACAUUUGGGUUGAUGGUGUUGGGUUGUUUUAUAUUAAUAAAUUAUGGGUCUUGCUUUGA
This is a long non-coding RNA of Populus nigra (black poplar), 767 nucleotides long. RefSeq lists it as uncharacterized. NCBI's taxonomy places the organism in Eukaryota, Viridiplantae, Streptophyta, Magnoliopsida, Malpighiales, Salicaceae. The transcript is spliced from 3 exons. The record is from RefSeq and is a predicted model, not a curated record.